AAGGGACAGCAGCAGCCGCGGUAAUACAGAGGGUGCGAGCGUUAAUCGGAUUUACUGGGCGUAAAGCGUGCGUAGGCGGCUUUUUAAGUCGGAUGUGAAAUCCCUGAGCUUAACUUAGGAAUUGCAUUCGAUACUGGGAAGCUAGAGUAUGGGAGAGGAUGGUAGAAUUCCAGGUGUAGCGGUGAAAUGCGUAGAGAUCUGGAGGAAUACCGAUGGCGAAGGCAGCCAUCUGGCCUAAUACUGACGCUGAGGUACGAAAGCAUGGGGAGCAAACAGGAUUAGAUACCCGCGUAGUCCCUGUCUCUUAUAA
This 310-nucleotide ribosomal RNA is filed under the name uncultured bacterium. Its description in RNAcentral is "partial 16S ribosomal RNA". It matches the Rfam family "Bacterial small subunit ribosomal RNA", at positions 503 to 809 of the family's 1533-position model. The record is from RNAcentral.